CCCCCAAGCAAAUUCUACCAUUUGUUGUGGGGUUACCACAGUGAUGCUACCAAAAUUUACAUACACAACAGAGUUUAGUUCUUUUGAAUCAAGCCAGUCAAUACACUCUGGUUGAUCUUUCCAAAGAUUUGAACCAACGCUUUUCAAGUUGCUGUCUGGAAACUGAUCAACAAGCAACUGAAGAGGACCAAUAGUAUAAAUAGAAGGGAACAUGGUGGAAAGAGCAUCUAACACAUUUUUUUCAAAGGCCUCGAAUGUAUUCAAAAUGAUAGCAGAAGCUCUUGAAGUUCUCUCUACUUCCCUUACAAUGAAAUUGAGCAUUAUGUCAUUUCUGUCAGUAGUUCUAAUACGGUUUGGAAGAUCCCUUAAGCGAAUAUUUUUCAUUCCUGGAAUCCAAUCUAUGGUUGUUUCCAAGUACCCAUUUGUUAGAUAGCUCUCAUCUACAUUUCACAGAAAAAAUCAAGUGCAAGAAAGACUCAGUAAACCUACAAAAUCGAUUAUUCUGCUAACUAUAUUUAGAAAGAGAGUGAAUGCAUUAAACCUUUAAGAGGUGUAAAGCCUCUUUCAAUCAGAUGAGGCAAAUGUGCAUAGCCCAAAACGCCACAGGGGCUGUGUGUCCAGAAAAGUACAUUAGGAAUCCCAAAUUCUUGAGCGGCGUCAAGAGUGAAGCUCAUGCAACCAUCAGAAAUAACACAAGUAACAGGUGGAACAGUAUUGGAAGAAUUCAGCCUGGAAAGAAGAUGAUGAAAUGGGAGUAAGCAGUGCUUGGAGGUGGAGUUACAGAGAGAAGGGAUGUCUUGAGUGGCAUCUGCAUCCGAAGGUGGAAGCCCAUCAGGGAUAGCCUCAAAGUGAAAAUCUGGCAAUCCGUCAAGAGAGUCAGGGCCUCUAGACCUGAGCAAGCGUCUGUGGUUAUACUCUGUAUUGACAAAAGUUAUGUGAAAACCAUUGGAGUGGAGGAUUUUUGCUAGCUUGAGCAUUGAAUUUACAGGACCUUGAGCUGGAUAUGGGACGCACACAGCAUGACAUCUCUCGUCUCUGGCAACGGCAGAAGAACCCAUCUGUUUAUAUAUGUAUUCUGUACUUAAGUCUGCGAGAACCGAAUUUGGUGAUGGAAAAGAAGCUAAAUUCUGCUUCUUAAAACACGAGAGAUUGGCUUGAACAGUUCAAUCGAUUAAAAAAAUAAAACACAGCAGAGAAUUCCUGCCCGUAUCAAGCAAUCAGAGAUCUGCAAUAGAAAACGGAUAUGGUACGCAGACAGCAUUUACUGACGCCAUCGUAAUAAUUGUACUGAACUAACUUUAUUUAUUAUUUUUAUUCUUUUAAGAUAUUUCAUUAAAAGCCCUUACUCAACGUAGGGCCCACUGCUCAUUUAUGAAUGCAUUAAACCUUUAAUGCGUGGACCGUAAGCCAAGUUAAAUCACAUCAAAGUGGUACUAAAUUAAAAAUUAAAAAUUAAAAAUAAAUUUUAUAAGUAAGUUUUUUUAAAUUAUAUAUCAUAAUAAAUAAGUAAAAUUUUUUUAUUAAAGUAUGAAUAAUUUCAAAAUUCAAUAAAAUUUGAUCAACUUAGACACUGAAAGUAAUAACUAAUUAACAAAUCAUUAUAAAAAAAUUUCUUAAAAAUGCCAUUUAAAAAUUAAUAGUGUAAAUAAUUUAUUUUAUUAAUUAAAUUAAAUUAUUAUAUUUUUUAUUUUUUUAUAAAGUAAAAAUACAUAAUUAUUGUUUUUAUUUUGUUAUAUGAUUUUAAUAUAAGAAUAUUUAUUUUUUAUUAAUCAUUAAAAAAAUUAACUUUAAGUAAUUUUCAAUUAUAUAAAAUUUUUUAGAAUUUUUUAAAUAUUAUCAUAGUUUUUCAUAAACUCCUUCAAAUGUAGGGUCCCACAUCAAUUAUUAAGAGGAAAAAUGAUGGGUAAGAGUGUCCCACAUUAAUUAUUAAGAGGAAAAAUGAUGGGUAAGAGCCGAUCAGAAAAUUGUGCAAUAGCUAAAAACGGUCGUAUGAUAAAAUUUCUCCCUCUGAAAGACUAAAUUGCUUAUUUUGAGUGAAAACUUUGACAGCUAGUAAAAGUACACAACAGCAAAUAUACAGUACAACAAGCGAGGGUGAUACUUCUUCAGCCAUUAAAAAUUCCAAAUCAUUUUCUUUGAAGAAAUCCAAGCAGUUGGACCAAAUUCCUGUGAGAAGAGCCACCUGGUGUUGUGGCCUCCUCUGCUUUGAUCUUCCAUUCCAUUGCCUGCCUUUUCAUUUCUUUACCCUUCUUUCCAUCCAUCAACUCUCUCACAAGCUUUUCCACUUCCUCUCUUUUUACAUCAUUAUCAAUCUCCAUUCCAAUACCCCAUUCAUUGCAAGCGAACCAACAAUUGGUCUGUUGCUCCGCGAAGAAUGGCCAACAAACCACUGGAACACCUCCACAUAUACUCUCCAACGUCGAAUUCCACCCCAUAUGACUUAAAAAUCCUCCUAUUGCAGGAUGCUUCAAGAUUUGCUCUUGUGGAGACCAGCUCGCUAACGUUCCUCUGUCCUUGGUUUCAGACCCAAAUUCGGGUGGCAACAUCGCAGCUUCGCCAACCACAAGGUCUGGCCUUAUUAUCCACAAAAAUGGUUUCUUGCUGUUGGCUAGCCCCCAAGCAAAUUCUAUCAUUUGUUGUGGGGUUACCACAGUGAUGCUACCAAAAUUUACAUACACAACAGAGUUUGGUUCUUUUGAAUCAAGCCAGUCAAUACACUCUGGCUGUUCUUUCCACAGAUUUGAACCAAUGUUUAUCAAUUUGCUGUCUGGGAUCUGAUCAAGAAGCAACUGAAGAGGACCAAUAGUAUAAAUAGGAGGUAACAUGGUGAAAAGAACAUCCAACACAUUUUUCUCAAAGGCCUCGAAUGUGUUCAAAAUGACAGCAGAAGCUCUUGAAGUUCUCUCUAUUUCCCUUACAAAGAAAUUGAGCAUGAUGUCAUUUCUGUCAGUAGUUCUGAUAAAGCUUGGAAGAUCCCUUAAGCGAAUAUUUCUCAUUCCUGGAAUCCAAUCUAUGGUUGUAUCCAAGUCCCCAUUUGUUAGAUAGCUCUCAUCUGCAUUUCACAGACCAAAUCAAGUGCAAGAAAGAUUCAGUAAACCUAAGAACCUAAUCUUCUGCUAACUAUAUCUAAAAAGAGGGUGAGAGUAUUAAACCUUUAAGAGGUGUUAAGCCCCUUUCAAUCAGAUGACGAUAAUGAGCAUAGGCCAAAACGCCACAGGAGCUGGGUGUCCAGAAAAGUACAUCAGGAAUUCCAAAUUCAUGAGCUGCGUCAAGAGUGAAGCUCAUACAAGCAUCAGAAAUAACACAAGUAACAGGUGGGACAGUAUUGGAAGAGUUGAGCCUGGAAAGAAGAUGGCGAAAUGGGAGUAAGCAGUGCUUGGAGGUGGAGUCACAGAGAGAUGGGAUGUCUUGGGUGGCAUUUGCAUCAGAAGGUGGAAGGCCAUCAGGGAUAGAAUCAAAGUGAAAAUCUGGCAAGCCGUCAAGAGAGUCAGGGCCUCUAGACCUGAGCAAGCGUCUGUGGUUAUACUCUGUGUUGACGAAAGUUAUGUGAAAGCCAUUGGAGUGGAGGAUUUUCGCAAGCUUGAGCAUUGGAUUUACAUGACCUUGAGCUGGAUAUGGUACGCACACAGCAUGAGGUCUCUCGUCUCUUGCAAUGGCGAAGGAACCCAUCUGUGCUUGUGCAAUUGUGUAGUAAUACUCUAUAAGAGCUGUAGUUGAUCAGGAAAAAUGAAGCUAAAUGCUGCUUCUUAUAACCAAAGAGAGGUUGGCUUCAACAGUCCAAUCAAUAAUAUAGUUAUUUUAUAGUAUUUACACUUAUUUUAUAAAUAUAAAUAAUUUAUUAAUAUAUAUAUAUAAUUUACAUUAAUAUAAAAAUUUUAUAAUUAAUAAAUACUAAAAAAAAUAAGAUGAUGGUUAAAAUAAAAUAUAAAAUCUAGUAAAAAUUUUAAAGAGAUGUUUAGUUUACCUUUUUGUGACAAUAACUAUUUUGUAUAUUUGAUAAAUACUUAUUAGCUAUUUUUUUUCAUCAACUGUCACUGGCUUUUUUCCCAUCCAUUGAUAGUUGAUAAGAUUUUAACUUUUAUUUGGACCAUUUUUCUCCUUUGUUUAAAGCUUUUUCUUAUCCAUUCAUAGUUGAUCAGCUUUUAUACACAAUCAUAUUUUUAAAUAUUAUGUGUAUUUUAUAAUAAAUUAUUAAUUAUAUAUAUAUAUAUAUACAUACAUAUUUUACUAAUUUAAAUUAUAAUUAAAAAUUAAUUAUAAAUUAUUAACUAUUAACAACAUUGUUAAUGCUAAAUAUCGAACCGAAUCAAAUCAAGUUUUCAUAGUCUCGGCUCGAGUUUUAUUUAUUAGUUUAAACUUAAUUUAUAAAAUAAAUAUUAAACUCGAACAAUAUUCGAAUUUAAUUCGUAAUAAAUUCGUUGAUUACAUUAACGAACCAACUUAAAUUCCAUUCAAAUGAAUCAACUUAAACUCCAUUCAAAAACUUGAAUUUGCGCUCAUUUAAAUUUAAAUUUUAACUCGAUUAUAUUAUAAACAAACUUAAUAUAAUUUAAAUAUAUUUAAAUUAUAAAUAAAUUUAAAUUAAAAAUAAAAUUAAAAUUAUAAAAUCAUUAAAAAGUUUAAAAUUAAAUUUUUUUAUUUAAUUAAAAUCUUUCAAAUUCAAAACUAAUAAAAAAAAGUAAAAAGAUUAUACUUUUAUAAAAAAUUCACGGUCCAUAUACUUUUUAACUUUUAACGUGGAAUUGGUGUUAGCGAACGAGUCUGAUCACGAGUUUGUUCGUAAGCAUAUUCACGAGUCAACUCGCAAAUUUGUUUAUAACGAACCAAGCUCGCGAGAUUAAAGGAGUCGAAUACUGCUAAACUAAAAAUCGGCACGUUUAUUAAACGAAUCUAAAAAGUGAGUUUGAGUUCGACUCGUUUAGAAAACGAAACGAAUCCGAUCAAAUUUUUAUCUAAUCGAGUCUCGAAUACCUAUUGAUUACUAUUUUUAAAAAAUUACCAAACAUUUAAAUUAAAUAUUUGGGAGUUACAUCAAUUAUCAGUUAGAAAAAAUGGUAAAUCAAAAUCCUCUUAGUACCAAUUCCAUUAAGUAUAACAAAAUCACGACUAUCAGGUAUUUAUCUUGUGACCUUUUAGGAACAAACCUUUCUUUUUGUUUUUACUUAACUAAAAUUAAAAUUUUAGAAAGUUAAUGAAAAAAAAUUAAUUGGAUUAAAUUACUGUAAAAUUCUAAUUGAUUCUAAACGAAAUUUUGAUAAAAUUGGUUUAAUUCUUUGACAUUUUAGUUCUGAUUUUAUUUUGUUAUUAGUUUUUUAAUUUUGGUUUUGUGAGGUUUUUAUUUAGAUUUUGAUUCUUGAAAUUUUUUUAUACACUUGCUUUUAUGAAACAUUAUACUUAAGUUACUAUUUAAGUUUUAAAUUGUAUUAAUUAAAAUAUAUUAUAUAAUAUUUCUUGUAAUAUAUUUCUAACUAAAAUUAUCAAGGAAAAAAAAGAUAAAAUCGAUAUUUGUAUUGAUAUUAUUACUAUUUUAGUCAUAUAUAAACACGUCAUACAUUAAAAAUAUACUAAUCUAUCUAAAAAUUAAUUAUAUAUAUAUAUAUAUAUAUAUAUAUAUAUAUAUAAUUUUACUUUUUUUAUCAUGAAAAUUAAAAUUGUAUUUCUAAAGCACAAAUAAAAUAAAAUUAUAAAGAGACGCAUAAUAGACUAGAAGGCUAAACCAGCCUAAAAUUAAAAAAUAAACCAAUUAAAUAACAGAAAUCCAACCAAAACCUAACCAAAUAAAUCAAAUUAGUAAUCGAACAAAAUAAUCGAACAGAAGACUGUCGCAUACCAUCCCACACUGCUAUACCGUCUGAGCAUCAUCCAUGACUGCAACAACAGCCAAAGAGAUAAAAAGCGUGAUAGGCAACAAAACCAUAUCAACAUCCCCAAUUAACAAGGGCGGCUAAACAACAAAGAGAUAAAAAGAAUAAAGAAACUAUAAUACACACAUGGAAAAAACAGAAAUAGAGAAGAGAGGCUACUGGUAAUAGAGAAGAGAGGCCACUGGUAAGUGUAGUCCACCGACAAAAGUAGAUCCGAGGAAGGAGCCACCAUAGAGCCCAGCUAAAGAAGGCCGAUGGAAGCGGUAGCCAUCAGACGUAUCGAUGCUGUCUCGGGAUACGAUAUUACACCCAAAGGUAACCUCCCCACGGAAAGUCAAUAUCGAAGCCCUCAAGGUCCUUGCACCAGAAUCUUCCUUGUCAACAGAACCACCAAAGACUGGAGAAACGGAUAGCAAAUUAAAGCAAAAACAAAAGUCAAUCUGGUCAUCCACGGCAAAGAAAAUUCGAGAAGGACGACGGCUCUAAAAAGAAACCCUCAUUCCCUCGUUUUAAAGCAAGGAGAAGGAAAAAUACCACAUCUGGAAAAACACGAAUAAAAUGAAGUCAAUCAAGAGUGAAAAUAAUAAGAAUCAGACCCUAAAACACAAAAAAUUCCUUAUCCUUUACUCUUCUCACUUUACUUUGAUUACAAUCUAAUAAGAUUCUAUAAUAGGGUUUACAGUGUAUGAGUGAGCUUAGCCAGGGAAAAUCUUGUCUCUCCCCCUUUAUCCCUUUUCUUUUUGUCUUCUAGUGAUGCAUAACCGCCAUUCUGCUACAGUGUCACCUGUCCCUGUUACUCAGGUUCGUACGUACGGAUGUGCCAGUGUACCCCUCUCUAUUAGGCGGCCAUUUAAUUCCCCCCGACGUGCAUGCUGAUAGAGCUGCGAGGUGACUGGGCCUGCUGACUAUGCGGUUGUCGAGACCGGUCAAAAAUAACCUUUUUGGUUAUCCACAAUUUUACAACUGUAUAUAGUGAUAAAAGGAUUGAAUCCAUAUGGAAUUCAUACUUACCUAUGUUGUUGGGAAGUCCAUAAAUUAUUGCAACCCAAAGGCGCAGCGGAAAAAUAAAAUUUCUCUGAUUUCCUUUUCCCAGAAUCCGAGUGCUUCGUUUAUUUCAUAAGAAGGAUAUGAAACUAACCUGUUAAUCUCAUCAAGAAUAUACAAUGCCGAACUGAUGGUGCUGCUUUUCCAAACGAACACCCUCUAUAGUAUCCACACAAACGUCUUCUAUCUUUCUAGAGUGCUAGCUCUCUCAAAGAUGGAUAGAUUAUAUGCUCUACAAUCUGCAAUAGUUAUACUAAAUUUUUCUCCAAAAAUUAACAUUAUCCUUCCACAAUUCAUAGAAGGAGUAUUUAUAUGUUUCAGUCUUUUAUUUUUCCCACAAUUUCUUUUCCUAAAAGGAGUUGUGUUCAUAACCCACUAUCACAAUCUCACAGAUACUCAAAUAUCUUAUAUGAUAGAGUUCUUUAUUUGUAACAGUUACAGAUAAAUUGCAGAUCUUUUAAAUAUUAUUAUCUCAUAAUAAUAAAUAAUUAAUAAUAAUAACACUUUAUUAUUAUUAAUUAUAUUAAUGAUUAAUAAUAAUAACACUUUAUUAUUAUUAAUUAUAUUAAUGGGCUUUAGACUUUUAGCUCAUUAAUAUGUCAUAACACAUCAACAACAUGUAUGACCCAAUAGGCUCACAUUAAUUGGCAAUAGGCCCAGUCCCAGUCCCACAAGACUCAUAAAUCAUAAGUGGCCUCUACCAAGACAUUAUGACUACCCAAUUAAUAUGAGGAUCAAUAGUCCGAUAAAGCCUAAUAAAUAGAACAUGUAUUAAUCCCUUUGUCACACGAUAUGUAGUUUGAACAUAAGUCAUGGUCAAUGUCAAACUUAUAAUGUUCAAACUUAUGAUUUCUCGAUCUCUAAGUAGACUGAUAAAUUCAAAAGAUAUUGAUCACACUAUCAAUUCAUUUGAGCACGGCUAUACAUUUCUCAGUCUCACUUAUCGAGGGACCCAGAAGAUAGCUCUUUCAGAGAGAGGGACAAAUCCUAUCUUGAUUGUUCAUUAUCCUCUACAUAAUUUCUAUUAUGCUCAAUCAUAACCUUUAUGAUUGUCCGAUUAAAGACAACGUUUGGUUAUGUCAAAACAUAACAGUCCUUAUAUUAGAAACUAUGACAAUCUCAAGUCAAAGGAUUAAGACAUAACUAUUUUGAGAUUCACUUAUGACAAUAACCCAUGUAGUGAUCUCAGUGCGAGUCCAUCAAAUACUUUGUUCUCUAAUAAGUAUUUAUGAUUGUUAAUUAUAUCAACAUAUACAUAAUCAUCUCAUGAUUAUCAAUCAAUAAUCAUACUAGCUAUAUUUUAUUAUUAUCAACAUAAUAAUAAGUAAUCAGGGAUGAUAAUCAUUAUUAUGUAAUAUGCAAACAAAUAAUAAUGAUAAAAACUUCUUUUAUUAAUAACCAAAACGACAUACAAAAAGGUCUAAGAUAAUGGCCUAGGGCAAAUACACUAACAAUAUAUGCUUCUAUCAAAAACCAAGUAAAUAAACUGGAAAAAAAAAAUAAAAAGGGGGUUUUGAAGUUGAUGAACUAAACUAGAAUUAAAAGUAGUAAAGCAAAACAAAUAAUAGAGUAGGAGAAUUCAAUAAUAAGAAAAGUCUAGUUGAAGCUUUGGAUCCACUUCAGUUGUUGGUAUUGAUCAUUGACACUUAUGUUUUUUUAUUUGACUCAAUAAAUUAGUUAUGGGGUGGAAGACGCUUUUCACCAUCAUAUCUCUCCUUAAGCAUAUAUUAAUUACGAAAUGUUCUCUAAUUAAUCACUAAUCAAUAAGUUGCCAAGGAACGUCAUUGGGGCUUUAGAUUCAUACAACUGUCAAUUGCAUUAAGAAAUAAAGAGACCUAAUUCUAGCUAUCCAAACGUAUGGUGAUCUUGCUAGAUUAUGCAAUCUCCUUGGUGUUUACACCAAGAGUUACUUGUGUUUGAAUAAUUCAAGCAAUUAUGGAACUAAAUUACCCAAACUAACAAAUUAUCACUUUGCAAUCAAGAAUCAAUGGGCCAUAUUGAUCUAAACAACAAAGUAACAAUAGAAUUAAGCAUGAAAUUGCAUAAAUAUUGAUAAAUAAAAUAUGAACAUCAUAGGUUCAGAUCUCCCAAUUCAUUAACAAACUGAAGUUUCACUUAAUCUUCAACUAGAAAAAGAGGUUUUAGCCAAUAAUGGCUGAAACUAACAUUAAAAUCAAAGAAAGAAAGCAAGAAUAAGAAAUUGGGCCGGCUGGGCGGCUACUAGAGGCACGCGAUUGCUGGAGGUGAUGAUCUCUGAAAAAGAUCUCCCCCCUUUGGUUGCUGGAUGGCUCUCUAUUUAUAUCUGAAUGUGAAACCCUAGGUUAUCCCUUGAUUAGAUGGAGUUAUUUUCCAAUUUGGAUUUGAAUUCCUUUUGGCAAUUGAGUUUCCUUGCAAUUUGGACUCCUUGAUGGGCGGAAUUUUGUUGGUGAGGUGUCCUGAAGUGUUUGGAAUAGGACGGACUUCUGAAAGUUUGGAUUUCUGGUUUCCCGCUUUUCUGUUAUUUUCUGCUGCAAAAUCUGUUUGCGCUACUAUUUGGACAAACAGCCAGUCAACACAGUCAAUUAUGUGUUGUCUGUCAUUCUACCUCUGUUCUGCGAGAUUUGUUUGCCUAGUUGUUUGGGCAAACAGCAGGUCAAACAGCAAGUCUGCACUACUCUUCAUCCUUCUCCCGUUUCUGCUGCAACUUGGUUUGGGCAGUUGUUUGGGCAAACUAAGCUUAGCACACCAAACUUGAUCUAUUGGAUUUCUCUUCCAUUCUCUUUGGGUAGUUUUUAGGUCAUUUUUCAUCAAAUCACCUUUUUACACAAUUUUCUGCAAAAAUAUAUUAAAACCAUAAAAUUAGAUAGAAAAUUUGUAAUUUAACAUCAAUAAUAUGAAAAAUGGGCCUAAUUUUGGUUUGAUUACCUGCUCUCUUACCUUCCGUCAUAUCACUGGACUAAGCCAUCCCUUAGUGAACCUGCGUGCGGGUCAGUCUGGCCCGCUUUGGUUACGGGCUGGAGUACAUCAUAUUGGACCGGCCUGCUCUAAGAGAUUCUGAUGGGCUUGGACCUGUAUCUUUCCCUAGGACUCGACUCCUCCCUUGGGUGUAAGAAGCUAGCGAUCAUAAAGAUAAAAUUUAUUUAUUUAAUUUUCAAAUAAAAUUAUAGUUUUCUUAAUAUAAUUUUAAGAUAAAAAUAUAGUUUUUAAAUUAAAUUUUAAUUUCUGAUUUAAAUUUUAAAUUGAACUGCCAUCGCCUCCGGCUGAGCCGUUCAAUAGAUCCAUGGGUUAGAUAGGUCACCACACAAGAUCCUUCCUAAACUCCUUCAAAAACAAAGGAGAUACACUGCGAAGAAACGUUAUAGCUACCACUUCAAAUGUAGUGUCCCACAUCAAUUAUUAAGAGGAAAAUUGAUGGGUAAGAGCCGAUCAGAAAAUUGUGCAAUAGCUAAAAACGAUCGUAUGAUAAAAUUUCUCCCUCUGAAAGACUAAAUUGCUUAUUUUGAGUGAAAACUUUGACAGCUAGUAAAAGUACACAACAGCAAAUAUACAACACAACAAGCGAGGGUGAUACUUCUUCAGCCAUUAGAAAUUCCAAAUCAUUUUCUUUGAAGAAAUCUAAGCAGUUCGACCAAAUUCCUGUGAGAAGAGCCACCUGGUGUUGUGGACUCCUCUGCUUUGAUCUUCCAUUCCAUUGCCUGCCUUUUCAUUUCUUUACCCUUCUUUCCAUCCAUCAACUCUCUCACAAGCUUUUCCACUUCUUCUCUUUUUACAUCAUUAUCAAUCUCCAUUCCAAUACCCCAUUCAUUGCAAGCGAACCAACAAUUGGUCUGUUGCUCCGCGAAGAAUGGCCAACAAACCACUGGAACACCUCCACAUAUACUCUCCAACGUCGAAUUCCACCCCAUAUGACUUAAAAAUCCUCCUACUGCAGGAUGCUUCAAGAUUUGCUCUUGUGGAGACCAGCUCGCUAACUUUCCUCUGUCCUUGGUUUCAGACACAAAUUCGGGUGGCAACAUCGCAGCUUCGCCAACCACAAGAUCUGGCCUUAUUAUCCACAAAAAUGGUUUCUUGCUGUUGGCUAGCCCCCAUGCAAAUUCUACCAUUUGUUGUGGGGUUACCACAGUGAUGCUACCAAAAUUUACAUACACAACAGAGUUUGGUUCUUUUGAAUCAAGCCAGUCAAUACACUCUGGCUGUUCUUUCCACAGAUUUGAACCAAUGUUUCUCAAUUUGCUGUCUGGGAUCUGAUCAAGAAGCAACUGAAGAGGACCAAUAGUAUAAAUAGGAGGUAACAUGGUGAAAAGAACAUCCAACACAUGUUUCUCAAAGGCCUCGAAUGUGUUCAAAAUGAUAGCGGAAGCUCUUGAAGUUCUAUCUACUUCCCUUGC
This 11275-nucleotide long non-coding RNA is filed under the name Manihot esculenta (cassava). RNAcentral describes it as "long non-coding RNA (MESC_LNC003802)". Lineage: Eukaryota; Viridiplantae; Streptophyta; Magnoliopsida; Malpighiales; Euphorbiaceae. The record is from RNAcentral.